This 556-nucleotide long non-coding RNA is filed under the name Setaria italica (foxtail millet). Its description in RNAcentral is "long non-coding RNA (SITA_LNC004013)". The record is from RNAcentral. Lineage: Eukaryota; Viridiplantae; Streptophyta; Magnoliopsida; Poales; Poaceae.
GACGCUGGACGCACGCGGGGUGCAGCGCCGCCCUGCGGAACGGACGGCUGGGCUGGCCGUCGAGCGCAGGAGCUGGGGCGUGCACCUGACCGGGACAAACGCGCCGUGGUCAUGCCUCGCUGGCUCUGGUCGCUGGUGCGCGUGGCUUCCGCCGCCAGCAACCUGACGAGCGGCGCGCGCUAGGGGACGACGGCGUUUGCUUGGUUGUGGCUUCGGAGUUCGGACCGUGGGGCGGGACUACUAGUUUUUUUUAUAUAUACAGGGGUGUUCGGGAGCUAGUGAAACUUUUCAUAUCAUGUUUGACACUAAUUAAGAGUACUAAACAUAGUUUAAUUAUAAAAAAAUUUUGCACAACCCCUAGGCUAAAUCGAGAGACGAAUCUAUUAAGUCUAAUUAGUCCAUGAUUUAACAAUGUGGUGCUACAGUAACCAUUCGCUAAUGAUGGAUUAAUUAGGCUUAAUAGAUUCGUCUUGCGAUCUAGCCUAGGAGUUCUGCUAUUAGUUUUAUAAUUAGCAUCCGAACAUCCGAUGUGACAAGGCUAAAGUUUAGCUCCUGG